Molecule: ribosomal RNA, 514 nt
Filed under: uncultured bacterium
Lineage: Bacteria
Description: partial 16S ribosomal RNA
Rfam family: Bacterial small subunit ribosomal RNA
Source: RNAcentral
GAUGAACGCUGGCGGCGUGCCUAAUACAUGCAAGUCGAGCGAAUGGAUUGAGAGCUUGCUCUUAUGAAGUUAGCGGCGGACGGGUGAGUAACACGUGGGUAACCUGCCCAUACGACUGGGAUAACUCCGGGAAACCGGGGCUAAUACCGGAUAACAUUUUGAACCGCAUGGUUGGAAAUUGAAAGGCGGCUUCGGCUGUCACUUAUGGAUGGACCCGCGUCGCAUUAGCUAGUUGGUGAGGUAACGGCUCACCAAGGCAACGAUGCGUAGCCGACCUGAGAGGGUGAUCGGCCACACUGGACUGAGACACGGCCCAGACUCCUACGGGAGGCAGCAGUAGGGAAUCUUCCGCAAUGGACGAAAGUCUGACGGAGCAACGCCGCGUGAGUGAUGAAGGCUUUCGGGUCGUAAAACUCUGUUGUUAGGGAAGAACAAGUGCUAGUUGAAUAAGCUGGCACCUUGACGGUACCUAACCAGAAAGCCACGGCUAACUACGUGCCAGCCGCCGCAGUAA